Molecule: RNA transcript, 884 nt
Organism: Nomascus leucogenys (northern white-cheeked gibbon)
Lineage: Eukaryota; Metazoa; Chordata; Mammalia; Primates; Hylobatidae
Gene name: small ubiquitin-related modifier 1 pseudogene
Exons: 1
Source: RefSeq, a predicted model, not a curated record
AUAGUAAGUGUUAAAAGUAGUUCUUCGAUCUGAAAGAAAAAAACACUAACGUGGUAGCAGAAGUUACUGCAGCCGCAGUGUUGUGCUGUGGGGAAGGGAGAAGGAUUUGUAAACCCCGGAGCGAGGUUCUGCUUACCCGAGGCCGCUGCUGUGCGGAGACCCCCGGGUGAAGCCACUGUCAUCAUGUCUGACCAGGAGGCAAAACCUUCAACUGAGGACUUGGGGGAUAAGAAGGAAGGUGAAUAUAUUAAACUCAGUCAUUGGACAGGAUAGCAGUGAGAUUCACUUCAAAGUGAAAAUGACAACACAGCUCAAGAAACUCAAAGAAUCAUACUGUCAAAGACAGGGUGUUCCAGUGAAUUCACUCAGGUUUCUCUUUGAGGGUCAGAGAAUUGCUGAUAAUCAUACUCCAAAAGAACUGGGAAUGGAGGAAGAAGAUGUGAUUGAAGUUUAUCAGGAACAAAUGGGGAGUCAUUCAACAGUUUAGAUACUCUUAUUUUUCUUUUCCCUCAAUCCUUUUUCAUUUUUAAAAAUAGUUCUUUUGUAAUGUGGUGUUCAAAACGGAAUUGAAAACUGGCACCCCAUCUCUUUGAAACAUCUGGUAAUUUGAAUUCUAGUGCUCAUUAUUCAUUAUUGUUUGUUUUCAUUGUGCUGAUUUUUGGUGAUCAAGCCUCAGUCCCCUUACGUGUGCACAGAGAGCCCACCUUUUUCAGGACACUGCAUUUUCAGGCUUGUGGUAAUAAAUAAGAUCGACCAAUGCAAGUGUUCAUAAUGACUUUCCAAUUGGCCCUGAUGUUCUAGCAUGUGAUUAGUUCACUCCUGGACUGUAACUUUCAGUGGGAGAUGGAAGUUUUUCAGAGAACUGAACUGUGGAAAAAUGGCCU